RNAcentral lists this transfer RNA (73 nucleotides) under Neotoma lepida (desert woodrat). It matches the Rfam family "tRNA". From Rfam's summary of the family: Transfer RNA (tRNA) molecules are approximately 80 nucleotides in length. The record is from Rfam by way of RNAcentral. Lineage: Eukaryota; Metazoa; Chordata; Mammalia; Rodentia; Cricetidae.
GGAGAGGUNGCUCAGAGGUUAAGAGCACUGACUGUUCUUUCAGAGGUCCUGAGUUCAAUUCUCAGCAACUACA